RNAcentral lists this transfer RNA (72 nucleotides) under Ictidomys tridecemlineatus (thirteen-lined ground squirrel). RNAcentral describes it as "Spermophilus tridecemlineatus (thirteen-lined ground squirrel) tRNA". It matches the Rfam family "tRNA". From Rfam's summary of the family: Transfer RNA (tRNA) molecules are approximately 80 nucleotides in length. Their secondary structure includes four short double-helical elements and three loops (D, anti-codon, and T loops). Further hydrogen bonds mediate the characteristic L-shaped molecular structure. tRNAs have two regions of fundamental functional importance: the anti-codon, which is responsible for specific mRNA codon recognition, and the 3' end, to which the tRNAs corresponding amino acid is attached (by aminoacyl-tRNA synthetases). tRNAs cope with the degeneracy of the genetic code in two manners: having more than one tRNA (with a specific anti-codon) for a particular amino acid; and 'wobble' base-pairing, i.e. permitting non-standard base-pairing at the 3rd anti-codon position. Lineage: Eukaryota; Metazoa; Chordata; Mammalia; Rodentia; Sciuridae. The record is from Rfam by way of RNAcentral. RNAcentral also lists the same sequence under 1 other name.
UGAGCUGUAGCUCAGUGGCAGAGCACUUGCCUAGCAUGUGUGAGGGACUAGGUUCAAUCCUUAGCACCACAU